GACGAACGCUGGCGGCGUGCUUAACACAUGCAAGUCGAACGGAAAGGCCCUGCUUGCCGGGUACUCGAGUGGCGAACGGGUGAGUAACACGUGGGUGAUCUGCCCUGCACUUCGGGAUAAGCCUGGGAAACUGGGUCUAAUACCGGAUAGGAGCCAUUUUUAGUGCGAUGGUUGGAAAGUUUUUUCGGUGUAGGAUGAGCUCGCGGCCUAUCAGCUUGUUGGUGGGGUAAUGGCCUACCAAGGCGGCGACGGGUAGCCGGCCUGAGAGGGUGGACGGCCACAUUGGGACUGAGAUACGGCCCAGACUCCUACGGGAGGCAGCAGUGGGGAAUAUUGCACAAUGGGCGCAAGCCUGAUGCAGCGACGCCGCGUGGGGGAUGACGGCCUUCGGGUUGUAAACUCCUUUCGCUAGGGACGAAGCUUUUUGUGACGGUACCUAGAGAAGAAGCACCGGCUAACUACGUG
RNAcentral lists this ribosomal RNA (465 nucleotides) under uncultured bacterium. Its description in RNAcentral is "partial 16S ribosomal RNA". It matches the Rfam family "Bacterial small subunit ribosomal RNA", at positions 28 to 507 of the family's 1533-position model. The record is from RNAcentral.